This 390-nucleotide ribosomal RNA is filed under the name uncultured bacterium. RNAcentral's name for it is "bacterial SSU rRNA". It matches the Rfam family "Bacterial small subunit ribosomal RNA", at positions 28 to 412 of the family's 1533-position model. The record is from RNAcentral.
GAUGAACGCUAGCGGCAGGCUUAAUACAUGCAAGUCGAGGGGCAGCAGGUUUGUAGCAAUACAGAUGCUGGCGACCGGCAAACGGGUGCGGAACACGUACACAACCUUCCUUUAAGUGGGGAAUAGCCCAGAGAAAUUUGGAUUAAUACCCCGUAACAUUAUGAUGUGGCAUCACAUUAUAAUUAUAGCUCCGGCGCUUAAUGAUGGGUGUGCGGCUGANAGGUAGUUGGCGGGGUAACGGCCCACCAAGCCUUCGAUCAGUAACUGGUGUGAGAGCACGACCAGUCACACGGGCACUGAGACACGGGCCCGACUCCUACGGGAGGCAGCAGUAAGGAAUAUUGGGCAAUGGAGGCAACUCUGACCCAGCCAUGCCGCGUGGAGGAUGAA